AGCAGUGUAUUCGCACGUCGUUGUCGGCAAGUGGUGUUAGUCGGCUAGGACCUGCGCCGCCAUACACACGCCUCCUGUCCUUCCUCACCAGGUCCCGCGAGGAUGCUCGGCCCAAGACUAGAUAGUGACCCGGAUGUUCCUGGACUGGACGGCUGAAAUACAGUGAAUCGACGGACACAGAAGCUAAAUUGGCACAGGAUGGGACUAUAACAAAACGUUGAGAGCGAAAGAGAGAACGAUGUAAAAGCAACGACGGAAAUCAGAAACCCUUGCAUCGCCAGCCACUGGGAGUCUCAAGUCCGUCGCUAACUCAAGGUGGAGGCAGCGGCGUCCUCCGCACACGACGCCCGCCUCCCAGCGAAGGAACGGAUUACCGGGGCGGCCCAGGGGGCGUCGUUGGCACACCGCUGACCUGAUCUGCCAAAUGUCAGGUCUGGCCACGCGUCAUCGAAGUGAGGACUCCGACAGACAUCCAGCGAGGAGGCCAGCCAGUGAGACCUAUAUCGCAAAAAUGAAGUCAAGGUGAAUCGAACGCCCACACUGAACUGAAGAAUCCGGCAUGUGCAGGCAAUUGAAGCCAAUGAAGCCAACGUGCAGAUCAACGGAUAGACACGACCGUAGAAUCAAACCGGUCUCCAGAACAACCAGGACUGAAAUGAGCGAAAACUAGACGAUUCACGAUUACUAUCCAAUUACCUUUCCAACCCGACGACUGUUCCGUGACGCCCGAGGAAGUCAGGGGUGCGAGAAAAGGAAGGGACGGCAGGUCUGCGGAAGGGAAUAAUGUUUAAACAUGUAUGGAAGGAAAUGUUAAAUAGCUAGUUGCCAGGAAAGCAA
Molecule: long non-coding RNA, 837 nt
Organism: Penaeus monodon (black tiger shrimp)
Lineage: Eukaryota; Metazoa; Arthropoda; Malacostraca; Decapoda; Penaeidae
Exons: 5
Source: RefSeq, a predicted model, not a curated record